CCAACUUCCUGACGGUUCGUUUUCUGAUUCUGCAAAAAAAAAAAAAAGAGAGAGAGAACCGCAUUUCCUUUUUGACUUAAGAGGCAGAGAGAGGGAGACAAGCGGAGGCUGGGGGCUGGUGGACUCAUCGAGCUGCAAAGCACAGUCAGGCUAAUGCUAAACUCUUCUGGCUGUCCAAAAGAUGCUGUGGUCCAGAUAUCCUUCUCUGGAUCUGCAGGCUGUGCUUUGCAGAAGAUUCAUUCUUCAUGGAGGAAAGCACAGCCAAUGAGGCCACAUUCUCCUGUCUUUAGACUUACUAAAGUAAAAGAAAAAAAUAGGAGAGAAAAACAACCCUACAGACAGACAUGAAGAACAGAAGCAUGUCAGUGACCGCCUGAAGAUACCACAGUAAGAAGAACUUGACCUAAGGUUCUAAAGAGGGUCUUAUCAGCUUGGGAGGACUGAUACAGCAGGAUUGAUGGUGCUGAAGUGCUUCUUGGUAAUGACCUUUCUGCAGCCCUUGACUUUUCUUUCACACAGUCUUUGGUAGCCUAACAACAAUGGGAACUAUUGUUUAGAUAACUGUGAUUUUGCUUCUUCCUUUUAUCAAAAGAUUUUAAAAACUGAAAACAGAGUUAAUGGCAGAUCUUGGAGUGUCCAUAAAUAACACAGAUACAGACCAGGUACAAGAAAGCAGUGAUUCUGGAAGAUUUAUACAAUUGAAUUGCUUCUUUAUGCUGUUGAUUUCCUGAUGCUGCACCUAUGAAUCUGUCCCUUAGUGUUUAUGAUAUAUUUUCAGAAAAUAAGAUUGUACACCAAUGUUAAUUGUAAUUAUUUUAAUUAUCCCUUUUGAGGAUUCUCUUGCUUUGUCUUCACAUGGCAUAUGCAUGUAAAAGUGUGAAAUUGAGACACAUACAAGGAAUUUUGGAAAAUGUUGUAUGUAAUGUAAGAUUUUUGACUAGGAUCUGUGCAUCAACCAUGGCAGGGCCAUCAUGUAGUGGAGCAAUUAUCAGCAUCAGCUUCAUCUUAAAAUUCUUAAUUUUCUCUGCUUUUCUUACUUUACUAUACAUAUUCUUUCCUUUUUUAUUUUUUAUGAUAAUAAUAAAAAAAAAAACAGGAAAAAAAUCUUCAUUGGAAAUAUCUGAUAUAUUCUCCGCUGGAAAAACAAUAUCCUGCAAUAGAUGGGUGGCCAUGUAAACACACCUCUGCCUAGCACAAAAAAAACCAGCCUGGAUUCAUGGGUAUGAAUUCAGAUGGCAUAGUGGGGAGGCAGGAGGACUUUUGCAGGGGAUUAAGACACCAGGUUUGAAUCUCUAGGGAUGCUGGCUCCAGUUCAGGCUCUAGUUGGGAGGCCAAAUAAGUAUGGUGGUCUCAUUAGUCCUCAUUACAAAAACUGACCACAUGAUUUGGUACCAUCAGCAGCUCUUUGCUAGAUAAAUCCUGGACUAGAGAAACAAGGUUUACUGCAAGCUAGACCUGAGGUAUGUUGACAGGGAGAAGUUUGCAGAAAGCCUGGCUGUACCAAGGCCAGUGUUAACAGUCUUUUUACUUUCAUUUGCUCUGAAUUCAUUCAUAUAUAUGCAAUCUAAAUGGUUUAAAAGUCAAGAAAGAAAAAGAAAGAAAGAAAGAAAAAGAAAGAAAGAAAGAAAGAAAGAAAGAAAGAAAGAAAGAAAGAAAGAAAGAAAGAAAGAAAGAAAGAAAGAAAGAAAGAAAGAAAGAAAGAAAGAAAGAAAGAAAGAAAGAAAGAAAGAAAGAAAGAAAGAAAGAAAGAAAGAAAGAAAGAAAGAAAGAAAGAAGAAAGAAAGAAAAUAAAGAAAGAAAGAAAGAAAGAAAGAAAGAAAGAAAGAAAGAAAGAAAGAAAGAAAGAAAGAAAGAAAGAAAGAAAGAAAGAAAGAAAGAAAGAAAGAAAGAAAGAAAGAAAGAAAGAAAGAAAGAAAGAAAGAAAGAAAGAAAGAAAGAAAGAAAGAAAGAAAGAAAGAGAAAGAAAGAAAGAAAGAAAGAAAGAAAGAAAGAAAGAAAGAAAGAAAGAAAGAAA
Pezoporus occidentalis (night parrot) is the source of this 2014-nucleotide long non-coding RNA. RefSeq lists it as uncharacterized. The record is from RefSeq and is a predicted model, not a curated record. Lineage: Eukaryota; Metazoa; Chordata; Aves; Psittaciformes; Psittacidae. The transcript is spliced from 3 exons.